AUUGAACGCUGGCGGCAUGCUUUACACAUGCAAGUCGAACGGUAACAGGCCGCUAGGUGUUGACGCGUGGCGCACGGGUGUGUGAUGCAUAGGAAAGCGUCCAGACUUGGGGGGUAACUAUACGCAAGAGUAGCUAAUACACCAUACGAGCUAUGCGUGAGAGCGGGGGGCCGUAAGACCUCGUGCGCUUGGGGAGGGCGAUGUCGGAUUAGGUAGUUGGUGGGGUAAAGGCUCACCAAGCCAACGAUCUGUAGCUGGUUUGAGAGGACGACCAGCCACACUGGGACUGAGACACGGCCCAGACUCCUACGGGAGGCAGCAGUGGGGAAUUUUGGACAAUGGGCGCAAGCCUGAUCCAGCCAUGCCGCGUGUGGGAUGAAGGCCUUCGGGUUGUAAAGUGCUUUUGUACGGAACGAAACGGCGCUGGUUAAUACCCGGGGGAAAUGACGGUACCGUAAGAAUAAGCACCGGCUAACUACGUG
Molecule: ribosomal RNA, 482 nt
Filed under: uncultured bacterium
Lineage: Bacteria
Description: partial 16S ribosomal RNA
Rfam family: Bacterial small subunit ribosomal RNA
Source: RNAcentral